AAACAUUGACUCUUCAAAGUUUCUUGCAUAGGAUUAAAUUGUCAUAAUAACUCCUUGGCUUAUCAAGAGUCAAACAACUAACGAUUUUUUUUAUUUAAGUUUGUUAAAAUAAAAAUAUUAAUAAAUAAAAUUAAGAGUUAAGUAUUUUAUUGAAAGAUCACAAGAUUAUUGAUCGAACAACUAAAAUUAACAUAGGUAGAGAUUAAAAUAAUUGCAUUAGGUUUUGCAAGGACUAUUAAUUGGACAUGGCAUGCAAAGUCUUAGGUUUAGUAUGAAAUAAGACUCAGAUUCAUGGUUGACAUUUUGUCCCAUAAUCUUUACAUCUUAAUUAUCCAACUGUGCCGGAAAAACUUGCCCGAUUAUUAUUUCUUUAUUAUAGAUAAGAUUCCCUAAAUAUAUAUAAGAUGAUUACAUGAGAAAAACGAAACCAAUAAGAAAGCUAAUGACAAUUACUACAACUUCCGCGUGACUGUAUAAACUUUUUUUCAGGUGAACAACCGAAGACAUUGAUGUUAGAAAGAUUUAACUUCUAGAUCUCUUAAAUACCUAAAACAAAGCAAACAAACCAAAAUAAAAUUUAGGGUUGUUUGGGAUUUUGAAAAUGUGGAAAGGACUGAUCUAAAAAUUAUACAAGUGUGAAAUAUGGUUGGGUUUAGGAAUUGUCGAAGAUCCUCGUGCAUGUACUCACGUAAACAGGAUAUAUGACUGAAAAGCGUGUCAAAAAGCAAUUAAGAAAAGGAGAAAAAUAUGAAAAUCCAUCGGAGAAUGGCGAAGACCCUGUGGAGUCAAAGUCAAUCUUUUAAUGGCGUUCGGUUGAUACGUAUAAUUAAUAUAAAGCUUUGGUUGUGUGAGUGGAAAAGUUGGAAACUUGGAAACAAUGGAUUCCAUCGUCUGGAACCCUUUAGGUUUCAGCCAGGAGAGUUUGGCUUUGUCUUAAACGCGUACGUUUUGCGAACUAAUACUACUAGUAGUAGCAAAACAGCCGCGUCCGUGCAGUGAUUGCGGACCCAGCUAGCUUGUUUGGCUUAGUUCCCGUCAGCGUUUGCUGCGCCUGCGCAGCGCGUGUUAGCCAUCUCGACCUGUACAAACGCGGAGUUUGCCUACACCGGACCCAGAAUAGAACUGACUCCUGUUGGGCUCGGAGUGGAUAACGCAUCAUAGGUUUUGACCUUCCGCAAAGGAAACGAAAGACACUGCUUAUUAGGCCUAGUGGUUGGUUUAGGUUUGGGCCUAUUGGUCGGUAGAAAAUCCACGACGGCUCUUUUUAAGUCUUUGUUAUACAAUUAAUGCGGCCUAGAUCAAUUGCUGCCAAUAUAAGAAAAGAAAGAUAUUUUACUUUCAAUAUAAAAC
RNAcentral lists this long non-coding RNA (1350 nucleotides) under Durio zibethinus. RNAcentral describes it as "long non-coding RNA (DZIB_LNC001909)". Lineage: Eukaryota; Viridiplantae; Streptophyta; Magnoliopsida; Malvales; Malvaceae. The record is from RNAcentral.